This 368-nucleotide ribosomal RNA is filed under the name marine copepod environmental sample. RNAcentral describes it as "SSU rRNA". It matches the Rfam family "Eukaryotic small subunit ribosomal RNA", at positions 587 to 972 of the family's 1831-position model. Lineage: Eukaryota; Metazoa; Arthropoda; Copepoda. The record is from RNAcentral.
AGCUCCACUAGCGUAUAUUAAAGUUGUUGUGGUUAAAAAGCUCGUAGUUGGAUUUCGGCGGGUAGUGGUUGGUUUGAAUUGAUUCAACACUGACUUUUUUACCCGUGUGUUUUUCCAGAAUCUUACGGGUGAUCUUUACCGAUUGUCCGUUGGAACUGGCAGGUUUACUUUGAAAAAAUUAGAGUGCUCAAAGCAAGCUUACUGCUUGAAUAGUUGCGCAUGGAAUAAUAGAAUAGGAAGUCGUUUCUAUUUUGUUGGUUUUCGGAAAUCGACUUAAUGAUUAAUAGGGAUAGUCGGGGGCAUUCGUAUUCAAACGACAGAGGUGAAAUUCUUGGACCGUUUGAAAGCAUUUGCCAAGAAUGUUUUCA